CCUACGGGAGGCAGCAGUGAGGAAUAUUGGUCAAUGGGGGAAACCCUGAUGCAGCGACGCCGCGUGUGGGAAGACGGUCCUCUGGAUUGUAAACCACUGUCCCCAGGGACGAAGAUGACGGUACCUGGGGAGGAAGCUCCGGCUAACUACGUGCCAGCAGCCGCGGUAAUACGUAGGGAGCGAGCGUUGUCCGGAAUUACUGGGUGUAAAGGGUGCGUAGGCGGGGAUGCAAGUUGGGUGUCAAAACUACCGGCUCAACUGGUAGUCGCACUCAAAACUGCAGCUCUUGAGUGAAGUAGAGGCAGGCGGAAUUCCUAGUGUAGCGGUGAAAGGCGUAGAUAUUAGGAGGAACACCAGUGGCGAAGGCGGCCUGCUGGGCUUUUACUGACGCUGAGGCUCGAAAGUGUGGGGAGCAAACAGGAUUAGAUACCCCGGUAGUC
Molecule: ribosomal RNA, 440 nt
Filed under: uncultured bacterium
Lineage: Bacteria
Description: partial 16S ribosomal RNA
Rfam family: Bacterial small subunit ribosomal RNA
Source: RNAcentral